RNAcentral lists this non-coding RNA (24 nucleotides) under Arabidopsis thaliana (thale cress). Lineage: Eukaryota; Viridiplantae; Streptophyta; Magnoliopsida; Brassicales; Brassicaceae. The record is from RNAcentral.
GCCAGAGAGUAGUCAGGCCGCAUG